GACGGGGGGGGGGUGCUAAUACAUGCAAGUAGAACGCUGAAGAGAGGAGCUUGCUCUUCUUGGAUGAGUUGCGAACGGGUGAGUAACGCGUAGGUAACCUGCCUUGUAGCGGGGGAUAACUAUUGGAAACGAUAGCUAAUACCGCAUAACAAUGGAUGACACAUGUCAUUUAUUUGAAAGGGGCAAUUGCUCCACUACAAGAUGGACCUGCGUUGUAUUAGCUAGUAGGUGAGGUAACGGCUCACCUAGGCGACGAUACAUAGCCGACCUGAGAGGGUGAUCGGCCACACUGGGACUGAGACACGGCCCAGACUCCUACGGGAGGCAGCAGUAGGGAAUCUUCGGCAAUGGGGGCAACCCUGACCGAGCAACGCCGCGUGAGUGAAGAAGGUUUUCGGAUCGUAAAGCUCUGUUGUAAGUCAAGAACGAGUGUGAGAGUGGAAAGUUCACACUGUGACGGUAGCUUACCAGAAAGGGACGGCUAACUACGUGCCAGCAGCCGCGGUAAUACGUAGGUCCCGAGCGUUGUCCGGAUUUAUUGGGCGUAAAGCGAGCGCAGGCGGUUUGAUAAGUCUGAAGUUAAAGGCUGUGGCUCAACCAUAGUUCGCUUUGGAAACUGUCAAACUUGAGUGCAGAAGGGGAGAGUGGAAUUCCAUGUGUAGCGGUGAAAUGCGUAGAUAUAUGGAGGAACACCGGUGGCGAAAGCGGCUCUCUGGUCUGUAACUGACGCUGAGGCUCGAAAGCGUGGGGAGCGAACAGGAUUAGAUACCCUGGUAGUCCACGCCGUAAACGAUGAGUGCUAGGUGUUGGAUCCUUUCCGGGAUUCAGUGCCGCAGCUAACGCAUUAAGCACUCCGCCUGGGGAGUACGACCGCAAGGUUGAAACUCAAAGGAAUUGACGGGGGCCCGCACAAGCGGUGGAGCAUGUGGUUUAAUUCGAAGCAACGCGAAGAACCUUACCAGGUCUUGACAUCCCGAUGCUAUUUCUAGAGAUAGAAAGUUACUUCGGUACAUCGGUGACAGGUGGUGCAUGGUUGUCGUCAGCUCGUGUCGUGAGAUGUUGGGUUAAGUCCCGCAACGAGCGCAACCCCUAUUGUUAGUUGCCAUCAUUCAGUUGGGCACUCUAGCGAGACUGCCGGUAAUAAACCGGAGGAAGGUGGGGAUGACGUCAAAUCAUCAUGCCCCUUAUGACCUGGGCUACACACGUGCUACAAUGGUUGGUACAACGAGUUGCGAGUCGGUGACGGCAAGCUAAUCUCUUAAAGCCAAUCUCAGUUCGGAUUGUAGGCUGCAACUCGCCUACAUGAAGUCGGAAUCGCUAGUAAUCGCGGAUCAGCACGCCGCGGUGAAUACGUUCCCGGGCCUUGUACACACCGCCCGUCACACCACGAGAGUUUGUAACACCCGAAGUCGGUGAGGUAACCUUUUGGAGCCAGCCGCCUAAGGUGGAAAGAUAUG
RNAcentral lists this ribosomal RNA (1457 nucleotides) under Streptococcus salivarius. RNAcentral's name for it is "bacterial SSU rRNA". It matches the Rfam family "Bacterial small subunit ribosomal RNA". The record is from RNAcentral. Lineage: Bacteria; Bacillati; Bacillota; Bacilli; Lactobacillales; Streptococcaceae.